RNAcentral lists this non-coding RNA (32 nucleotides) under Mus musculus (house mouse). The record is from RNAcentral. Lineage: Eukaryota; Metazoa; Chordata; Mammalia; Rodentia; Muridae.
UGCUACUUCUUAGAAGCUGUAUACAGCUCUCG